CAUUAAAUGACUGAAAGCAAGUAAUGGUCUCUUAAACCAUUUAAUAGUAAAUAGCGAUUACUUUUAAUGA
This 70-nucleotide transfer RNA is filed under the name Lopaphus sphalerus. RNAcentral's name for it is "tRNA-Lys". The record is from RNAcentral. Lineage: Eukaryota; Metazoa; Arthropoda; Insecta; Phasmatodea; Lonchodidae.